UAGAGGUAACUUACCCUUUUAUGAAUUUCAAAAAAGGGCAAGUCCUUUUCUGCAUUUCAAAAAGACCCACAGUAAUGAUUAAGGCAUUCACUCGAUCACUCUCUUAUCUCUCUUGUUCUAGUGUUUUUAUUUGUUCGGCUAACCUUUCUGUCCAAGUUUGUGUUUUUUCUUGUGUUUUCUUCUCUACGAUUUCUAAUUGUGUUGCUUUGAAAACAAGGGGAGGAUCCACUGUCAUUGUCAACAAGACAUCUCUGAAAACUCUCUCUGCCUCUAAGCUUGCGUUGAGGAAGCAUGCUUUUCUUCAAUCUGUGGCUACCCCUGUCGGUGGUAGCAGCCCUGAGAUUCCCCCACUGCAAUCUACUUCAUCAAAGAAAGAAGGGAUAAGCCAGUGAAUCCUACAGUUUCUGAUAAUGGAGUUUUCUGAGUUUGAUGAAUCUGAAAAUGAUUUCCUUGAGAAUCAACCUAAGAUCGAGUCUCCACCAAUAGCUGCCUCAUCAUACCAUAAAGCGAGAUCUGCCAAACGAUAGAAAAAGGAAUCUGGUUCUGAACUGCUGGGUUAGAAUGUUGAUUGGCCAGCUAAUGCCUCCAUCAAGACUAUGGACAUAACACACAAAUACAUUAUGCUGCAUCGCUUUGCUGUCUACAGGUGGUUUCCAAUGUCUCAUACUUCCACCAUCACUAAUGAAAUGACAUUCUUUCUUCAUGAUGUUGGCACGGGGGCUCCUGUUAAUCUGGAUGAAUUCAUCUUUGACAAGAUUUUGUCUUUUAUCAAGGUUCAAACACCUACGGUAAUGCUUCUUCAUCAUUAUCUUAUUUAUAAUAUUCUGCAUGAUCAAAAGCCACUGAAGUUGGAGUCCGGGGCCUUGACACAAAUAUCUUCCGUUCCUAUGUACAAAGUCAAGGGAGAAACUGCUGAACCAUAACCUCCCAAGAAGAUCAAUCCCAAAGUUCCACCUCAUCCAUCAGUUGUUGAAGGCGCCACCUCGGUUGCUGCUGUACCUCCCCCUGUUGGAGUUGGUUUUAAUUAUGAUGUGUCAAAUGUUAACACCAGGUUUAGCUCGAAGAUGGAGAUAUUGGAGAAAUUUGUUCUGGACUAGCUUGCCAUUGUCAUUUCUAAUACCAGUAGAAAGUCCAAGGAGGAUGAAGGAAGCUCAAAUGGAGGUAGAUUCAACAAUGCUCACCUUUGAGUUAUGUUUGUUUAUGUUCUUUAAGGCUAUGUUUUUUUUUAUGUAGGGUUUUUUAUGUCUUUCCUUAUGUUUCAAGACUAUGUGUUUAGUUUUAUGGUUGUAGGUUGUAACCUUUGGCCUCUUGUUUAGAAAAAAAGGGAGAGUACAAAUGUUUCUUAUUUUCUUUUGA
This is a long non-coding RNA of Humulus lupulus (European hop), 1356 nucleotides long. RefSeq lists it as uncharacterized. Lineage: Eukaryota; Viridiplantae; Streptophyta; Magnoliopsida; Rosales; Cannabaceae. The record is from RefSeq and is a predicted model, not a curated record. The transcript has 2 exons.